UAGUUGGUGAAGUGAUUUGUCUGCUUGAUUGCGAUAACGAACGAGACCACCGUCUUUAAAUACACACUGUUUGGUUCGCCAAGCUGCGGUGUUCUUAAAGAGACUGCCGGUGCGAGCCGGAGGAAGUUGGUGGCUAUAACAGGUAAGUGAAGUGAGCGAGCGGACAGUCUAGUAGUCGUCGAGGAUACUAACCCCUCUCUAGGU
Molecule: ribosomal RNA, 204 nt
Filed under: uncultured eukaryote
Lineage: Eukaryota
Description: partial small subunit ribosomal RNA
Rfam family: Eukaryotic small subunit ribosomal RNA (bases 1-150)
Source: RNAcentral